GACGAACGCUGGCGGCGUGCUUAACACAUGCAAGUCGAACGGAAAGACCCUGCUUUUGUGGGGUGCUCGAGUGGCGAACGGGUGAGUAACACGUGAGUAACCUGCCCUUGACUUUGGGAUAACUUCAGGAAACUGGGGCUAAUACCGGAUAGGAGCUCCUGCUGCAUGGUGGGGUUUGGAAAGUUUCGGCGGUUGGGGAUGGACUCGCGGCUUAUCAGCUUGUUGGUGGGGUAGUGGCUUACCAAGGCUUUGACGGGUAGCCGGCCUGAGAGGGUGACCGGCGACAUUGGGACUGAGAUACGGCCAAGAAUGCUACGGGAGGGAGCAGUGGGGAAUAUUGCACAAUGGGCGGAAGCCUGAUGCAGCAACGCCGCGUGCGGGAUGACGGCCUUCGGGUUGUAAACCGAUUUCGAAUGUGACGAAGCGUGAGUGACGGUAAUGGGUAAAGAAGCACCGGCUAACUACGUG
This 468-nucleotide ribosomal RNA is filed under the name uncultured bacterium. RNAcentral describes it as "partial 16S ribosomal RNA". It matches the Rfam family "Bacterial small subunit ribosomal RNA", at positions 28 to 507 of the family's 1533-position model. The record is from RNAcentral.